Molecule: unclassified non-coding RNA, 346 nt
Filed under: soil metagenome
Description: partial contains 5.8S ribosomal RNA, internal transcribed spacer 2, and large subunit ribosomal RNA
Rfam family: 5.8S ribosomal RNA (bases 1-120)
Source: RNAcentral
GAUGAAGAACGCAGCGAAAUGCGAUAAGUAAUGUGAAUUGCAGAAUUCAGUGAAUCAUCGAAUCUUUGAACGCACAUUGCGCCCGCCAGUAUUCUGGCGGGCAUGCCUGUCUGAGCGUCAUUUCAACCCUCAUGCCCCUAGGGCGUGGUGUUGGGGAUCGGCCAAAGCCCGCGAGGGACGGCCGGCCCCUAAAUCUAGUGGCGGACCCGUCGUGGCCUCCUCUGCGAAGUAGUGAUAUUCCGCAUCGGAGAGCGACGAGCCCCUGCCGUUAAACCCCCAACUUUCCAAGGUUGACCUCAGAUCAGGUAGGAAUACCCGCUGAACUUAAGCAUAUCAAUAAGCAGGA